UCGGAUUAAUGCUCCAUGGUUUAUCGAUAUGGCAUCGUAUUGAUAAUAAAGAUUUAUCGGUAUAAGAUGGGCAUGCGUAUCAUUAGCUAGUUGGUGUGGUAACGGCAUACCAAGGCGACGAUGAUUAGGGGUCCUGAGAGGGAGAUCCCCCACACUGGUACUGAGACACGGACCAGACUCCUACGGGAGGCAGCAGUGAGGAAUAUUGGUCAAUGGAGGCAACUCUGAACCAGCCAUGCCGCGUGCAGGAUGACGGUCCUAUGGAUUGUAAACUGCUUUUGUACAGGAAGAAACCUCUCUACGUGUAGGGACUUGACGGUACUGUAAGAAUAAGGAUCGGCUAACUCCGUGCCAGCAGCCGCGGUAAUACGGAGGAUCCGAGCGUUAUCCGGAAUUAUUGGGUUUAAAGGGUUCGUAGGCGGCUUUGUAAGUCAGUGGUGAAAUUUCCUAGCUUAACUAGGACACGGCCAUUGAUACUGCAGAGCUUGAAUAAUAUGGAAGUAACUAGAAUAUGUAGUGUAGCGGUGAAAUGCUUAGAUAUUACAUGGAAUACCAAUUGCGAAGGCAGGUUACUACGUAUUUAUUGACGCUGAUGAACGAAAGCGUGGGGAGCGAACAGGAUUAGAUACCCUGGUAGUCCACGCCGUAAACGAUGGAUACUAGCUGUUCGGACUUC
Molecule: ribosomal RNA, 676 nt
Filed under: uncultured bacterium
Lineage: Bacteria
Description: bacterial SSU rRNA
Rfam family: Bacterial small subunit ribosomal RNA
Source: RNAcentral